This 600-nucleotide ribosomal RNA is filed under the name Triticum aestivum (bread wheat). RNAcentral describes it as "partial small subunit ribosomal RNA". The record is from RNAcentral. Lineage: Eukaryota; Viridiplantae; Streptophyta; Magnoliopsida; Poales; Poaceae.
GCCCAGGUCACCGAGCUCGCGGACGGCGGCGUCUUCGUCGGCUUCGUCUGCAACCACGCGCUCGCCGACGGCACGGCCUUCUGGAACUUCCUCAAAGCGCUGGCCGAGAUAUCGCGCGCCAGGCUCGCGCCUCCGGGGGCGCCGCAGUCGCCGGCGUCGUCGCCCCGGCCCAUGUUCGAGCGCUGGUCGCCCGACGGCGGCACGGCGACACCGGUCGUGCUGCCGUGCAAGGACCUGUCGGAGCUCAUCGAGAGACCGGCGCGGGUGCCGCUCCGCGGGCGCGUCCUGCACUUCUCGGCGGAGUCGGUGGCGGCGCUCAAGGAACAGGCCCGCGAAGAGCUCCUAGCGGCCGGGGACGCGGCAGCCGCGACCGCCCAGACACGGUACCAGGCUCUGACCUCGCUGAUUUGGCGGUGCAUCACCCGCGCCCGGCGGCUGGCCCCGGACAGCGAGACAGCGUUCCACGGGGCCGCCAACAACCGCGGGCGGCUCCGGCCGCCGCUGCCGGCGGAGUACUUCGGCAACAGCCUCUAUGGCGUCAGCACGGAGCCCGUGCGCGUGUCGGAGCUGCUGGCGCGCGGCGGGCACGGGCGGGCGGCG